RNAcentral lists this long non-coding RNA (1772 nucleotides) under Strigops habroptila (Kakapo). RNAcentral's name for it is "lncRNA (ENSSHBG00005020940.1)". Lineage: Eukaryota; Metazoa; Chordata; Aves; Psittaciformes; Psittacidae. The record is from RNAcentral.
UUUUUUUUUUUUUUGCAUGGGAGUUCAAAGCCUGGGUGAGCAACAGCAGGGCCCCAGCUCCUGCUGGACGCUUUAUAAUGGUGGCAUAUACAUUUUUGUACACCAGUAUUUAGUUUCACAUCCCUUCUGCUAGCUUGGGCAAAGCCAAAGGCCAUUUCACCCACUUGCAGGAUGCCGGACUGGCACGCCAGGAGGGAAAUGCUGUUUCUCUCCUUUUAAGGCUGGCUGCACCGUCCAGGCCCGGUUGGAGAGCUGCAGUGGGCAGCAGGAAGACGCAGCAUGCUGUCGUGUUGGGGCCUCGGCUGCAGACAGGGCAGUGGCAGCCUGCUGGGCAGGAGCUGUGGAGCCUGGGAAUAAAGCACCAAUGGCUGCUCUGCGAAAAUGCUGCAGAGUCUCUCUGGAUGCUGCUGGAGAUGCUGUUUCGUAACUCUUUCUGCAAACAGCUGAGUUUGGGCCACCAAAUGCCCUGCCUCAUCCUGUCUGCCACUCGCUCAGCAGGGCUGCUGGGAGAGGGAGCAAAGGCGGGACCAUGGGGCUUGGGGGCCACCGGGGGUUCCCAGAGCCGGUCCCAGCCGCCUGCUUGGAUACAGCCCGCCCUGGGAGGACAGCUUGUGCUGCUUUGCACAGCAAAGUGCAAUCCCUGCAGUGCCAAAAUGCGAGGGUUUGGGGAACUUUAGUGUCAAAGCACAGCCAUGAACACUCAAAUGGGGAAAAUACCUGUGGGUCAGUGUUUGGGGCUGCUGUUCCUGUGGGGAGGAAGGAAAGGGUCACCAAAUGAGCGGACAGUAUUAUAUUGUGAGACUGUAAACUUUAAAAAGAAAGGGGGGAGGGGAGGGAGGGAAGAGAGAGAGAGAGAGAGAAAGAGACAAAUCUACAUCCAGUCCAGAAAACCCAAAGAUUAUAUUACAUAGUCAGGGGAAAUGCAAUAGCACACUCAUCCAUCCCUAAAUGACCAAGACAAAGAGCUGACAAAAAUCAGGGGAAAUCCCAUUGUUUUGUUAACAUGAAAGGCGUAAAAUCAAGAAACAGGGCCUCAAAGGUACAUAUCACUACCACUAUCAGUCCUUGGGAUUUUCAAAUUUUGGACAUAUUUAGUAACAGGAAAGAACCUGAAUCAAGGCCUGCCUGCCACCUCAUCCCCCAAAUCUGUCCACCCAAUGGAGCCUGCACAUCAGGAUUUCAGUCAUCAUGGGGCUCACCCUCACUUCUGGGGACCUUGAAGAGUUGGGGGUGUUUUAGAGGGGCCAUGGAUGUGCCACUCCCAUGCCACACAAGAGGGUUGGAUCCCAAACACACCAUUCAGCUAAAGCAGCCACCAAAGCUGUACAAUACCUGAGAACAGAAGCAGUGCUAGGAUCCUGCCCACCAUGGCAAGCACCAUUCCUCACCCUGCAUACACUGCAAGUGGCAGAACAUCCCUGCGAUGCUGUGCCUGCACUUCUCCCUCAGGACAGAGAACCAGCAAAGACUGCAGGUGACACCAGAUCUAACAACAGUCUCAGAAACCCCCAGAUCCAGAUGUUUCUAUAAACUCAACAUUAUAGUGGUUUUCAUGAAAAAUCAGUCAUGAAGCUCUGGUCAAAAAGGUACAUAUCGCUUCUGCAGAUUAGCAUACCUCUGCCCUCACCAUGGCUUCCUACUUUGACAUGUUGUCGUGGUUUGAGCCCAGCCGGUAACUCAGAACCACACAGCCGCUCGCUCACUCCCCCCCCCCCCCUUCCUCCCCCCGCUCCCGGAGGGAUGGGGAGAAGAAUGGGAAGAAUGUAACUCCC